GAUGAACGCUGGCGGCGUGCCUAAUACAUGCAAGUCGAGCGAACAGACGAGGAGCUUGCUCCUCUGACGUUAGCGGCGGACGGGUGAGUAACACGUGGAUAACCUACCUAUAAGACUGGGAUAGCUUCGGGAAACCGGAGCUAAUACCGGAUAAUAUAUUGAACCGCAUGGUUCAAUAGUGAAAGACGGUUUUGCUGUCACUUAUAGAUGGAUCCGCGCCGCAUUAGCUAGUUGGUAAGGUAACGGCUUACCAAGGCGACGAUGCGUAGCCGACCUGAGAGGGUGAUCGGCCACACUGGAACUGAGACACGGUCCAGACUCCUACGGGAGGCAGCAGUAGGGAAUCUUCCGCAAUGGGCGAAAGCCUGACGGAGCAACGCCGCGUGAGUGAUGAAGGUCUUCGGAUCGUAAAACUCUGUUAUUAGGGAAGAACAAAUGUGUAAGUAACUAUGCACGUCUUGACGGUGCCUAAUCAGAAAGCCACGGCUAACUACGUG
RNAcentral lists this ribosomal RNA (497 nucleotides) under uncultured bacterium. Its description in RNAcentral is "partial 16S ribosomal RNA". It matches the Rfam family "Bacterial small subunit ribosomal RNA", at positions 28 to 507 of the family's 1533-position model. The record is from RNAcentral.